UACGGAGGGUGCUAGCGUUGUUCGGAAUUACUGGGCGUAAAGCGCGCGUAGGCGGCCAGAUUAGUCCGGUGUGAAAGUCAGAGGCUCAACCUUUGAAUGCCGCUGGAAACUGUCUGGCUUGAGUCCGGAAGGGGCGAGUGGAAUUCCUGGUGUAGCGGUGAAAUGCGCAGAUAUCAGGAGGAACACCAAUGGCGAAGGCAGCUCGCUGGAACGGUACUGACGCUGAGGCGCGAAAGCGUGGGGAGCAAACAGG
RNAcentral lists this ribosomal RNA (253 nucleotides) under uncultured bacterium. Its description in RNAcentral is "partial 16S ribosomal RNA". It matches the Rfam family "Bacterial small subunit ribosomal RNA", at positions 524 to 776 of the family's 1533-position model. The record is from RNAcentral.